CAGCCGCCGCGGGAAUACGGAGGAUCCAAGCGUUAUCCGGAAUCAUUGGGUUUAAAGGGUCCGUAGGCGGUCUUGUAAGUCAGUGGUGAAAGCCCAUCGCUCAACGGUGGAACGGCCAUUGAUACUGCAGGACUUGAAUUAUUGGGAAGUAACUAGAAUAUGUAGUGUAGCGGUGAAAUGCUUAGAGAUUACAUGGAAUACCAAUUGCGAAGGCAGGUUACUACCAAUUGAUUGACGCUGAUGGACGAAAGCGUGGGUAGCGAACAGGAUUAGAUACCCCUGUAGUCCCUGUCUCUUAUAU
Molecule: ribosomal RNA, 301 nt
Filed under: uncultured bacterium
Lineage: Bacteria
Description: partial 16S ribosomal RNA
Rfam family: Bacterial small subunit ribosomal RNA
Source: RNAcentral